This 73-nucleotide transfer RNA is filed under the name Acetobacteroides hydrogenigenes. Its description in RNAcentral is "Bacteroidetes bacterium RL-C tRNA". It matches the Rfam family "tRNA". Rfam says of the family: Transfer RNA (tRNA) molecules are approximately 80 nucleotides in length. Their secondary structure includes four short double-helical elements and three loops (D, anti-codon, and T loops). Further hydrogen bonds mediate the characteristic L-shaped molecular structure. tRNAs have two regions of fundamental functional importance: the anti-codon, which is responsible for specific mRNA codon recognition, and the 3' end, to which the tRNAs corresponding amino acid is attached (by aminoacyl-tRNA synthetases). tRNAs cope with the degeneracy of the genetic code in two manners: having more than one tRNA (with a specific anti-codon) for a particular amino acid; and 'wobble' base-pairing, i.e. permitting non-standard base-pairing at the 3rd anti-codon position. The record is from Rfam by way of RNAcentral. Lineage: Bacteria; Pseudomonadati; Bacteroidota; Bacteroidia; Bacteroidales; Rikenellaceae.
UGCGGGAUGGAGCAGUUGGCAGCUCGUUGGGCUCAUAACCCAAAGGUCACAGGUUCGAGUCCUGUUCCCGCUA